CCUACGGGUGGCUGCAGUGGGGAAUCUUAGACAAUGGGCGAAAGCCUGAUCUAGCCAUGCCGCGUGGGUGAUGAAGGCCUUAGGGUCGUAAAGCCCUUUCGCCGGGGAAGAUAAUGACGGUACCCGGUAAAGAAACCCCGGCUAACUCCGUGCCAGCAGCCGCGGUAAUACGGAGGGGGUUAGCGUUGUUCGGAAUGACUGGGCGUAAAGCGCGCGUAGGCGGAUCGCAAAGUUGGGGGUGAAAGCCCAGGGCUCAACCCUGGAAUUGCCGUCAAGACUCGCGGUCUGGAGUUCGAGAGAGGUGGGUGGAAUUCCGAGUGUAGAGGUGAAAUUCGUAGAUAUUCGGAGGAACACCAGUGGCGAAGGCGGCCCACUGGCUCGACACUGACGCUGAGGCGCGAAAGCGCGGGGAGCAAACAGGAUUAGAUACCCCAGUAGUC
This 440-nucleotide ribosomal RNA is filed under the name uncultured bacterium. RNAcentral's name for it is "partial 16S ribosomal RNA". It matches the Rfam family "Bacterial small subunit ribosomal RNA", at positions 338 to 795 of the family's 1533-position model. The record is from RNAcentral.